CAGAGAAUAGUUAAAGUAAGAAUCCUGGCUUUGGGAGUCAGGGGUGUGAGUUAAAGUCUCUCUUCUCUGG
Molecule: transfer RNA, 70 nt
Filed under: Cabdio morar (aspidoparia)
Lineage: Eukaryota; Metazoa; Chordata; Actinopteri; Cypriniformes; Danionidae
Description: tRNA-Pro
Rfam family: tRNA
About the family: Transfer RNA (tRNA) molecules are approximately 80 nucleotides in length. Their secondary structure includes four short double-helical elements and three loops (D, anti-codon, and T loops). Further hydrogen bonds mediate the characteristic L-shaped molecular structure. tRNAs have two regions of fundamental functional importance: the anti-codon, which is responsible for specific mRNA codon recognition, and the 3' end, to which the tRNAs corresponding amino acid is attached (by aminoacyl-tRNA synthetases). tRNAs cope with the degeneracy of the genetic code in two manners: having more than one tRNA (with a specific anti-codon) for a particular amino acid; and 'wobble' base-pairing, i.e. permitting non-standard base-pairing at the 3rd anti-codon position.
Source: RNAcentral